GGGGGGGUGGGCUACAUCCUGAGCGGCGCCGGGAAUUUCAUGGAGGAUUCGCGGCCCCACCUCGGCUCCGUCCCCCCCGGUUCCCUCCGCUUCUUCUUCGGGAGCCCCGCGAGCCCCGGGGGCUUCGCCCACCUGCGCCUGGAGCCCGGCGCUGCCACCGUCACCUUCCUGGAGGCCACCGGGCGCGUCCUGCACCGCGUGGUGCUGCCCCCCCGGCAGCUCUGAGCCCGGGGGGCGCGGGGACCCCUCCCCGGGGGACAUGGGGACACCGGGACCCUUCCCCUGGGGACAGCGGGACACCGGGACCCCUCCCCUGGGGACAUUAGGGACACCGGGACCCCUCCCUGGGGGACAGCGGGACAGCGGGACCCCUCCCAUGGGGACAUCGGGGACAUUGGGGACACCGGGACCCCUCCCCUGGGGACACCGGGACCCCUCCCCGGGGGACACUGGGGACAUCGGGACCCCUCCUCUGGGGACAUCGGGGACAUUGGGGACACUGGGGACACCGGGACCCCUCCCCUGGGGACACCCCGUGACCCCUGACCCGGGGGGACAUUUGGGACAUUGACCCCUGACCUGGGGGCACCUGCGACCCCCGCCUGGGUUUCCCCCUUGACGAUGACCCCCAAUAAAGCCAUUGAACGGCGCCCCCGCCA
Molecule: long non-coding RNA, 659 nt
Filed under: Parus major (Great Tit)
Lineage: Eukaryota; Metazoa; Chordata; Aves; Passeriformes; Paridae
Description: lncRNA (ENSPMJG00000004403.1)
Source: RNAcentral